UUCAUUGCUUCCCGACUUUUGUUCUUCUCCCGACUUUUUUUCUUCCUAACUUUUUUCUUCGCAACGCGACAUACAGGUUCAAUGCGGCGAUUUCCUCUUCUUCAUCAAGGUUCGACGAUUUUCUUCUUCAUCAACACGGCCUGCUAGGUUUCCUUCUUCUUCAUCAACCCGAUAGGCUAGGGUUGUGUUCUUCAGCGAUGCGACCAUGCUAGGGUGUUUGCCGCUCGAUUCCACUUUACCUUUACAAAUACAUGAAAAAAGAAAAUAGAGCUCAGUAUGUGUCAUUUGUGGAUCCUGGUCACAUACCUACAUGUGGUGUGGGUGAAGAAGGUAGUAAAUUAUCACAACAUAUUGAUGCUCAGUUGGGAGCAUCGAACAGAGAUAGCAUAUGCUUCAUCCCAUAUAACACUGGGUACCAUUGGAUCUUGACUAUAAUUAAUGAAGAUAAGAAUAUGAUAUAUUUAUUGGACUCUUUGAGUAACAGGAUCCGAGAUCAUGCUUGACAAACUAUUGUGACCAAUGGGGGCAAGAUAUACAAUGCAUCCAGGGGUAUUUCAAAAGGACCAGGUUUUAAACAAUUGACAGUAUGUAUUGUGACUAUAUAUUUAGACAUCAAUUAAUAACUCUUAUUAUUUGAAUUGUGACUUCUUGCAUGACAUUUUCAAUUUCAUUAGGGUAAUCUUAAACAAAAUGGUGGCGUUGAAUGUAAAUAUUGUGUGAUGCAGUACAUGAAAGAGAUAGUGUUGGAUGAAUAUCCACAAUUGGAGAGGAAGUUUGCAGCAUCAAAAACCAAACAGUAUUACAAUCAAUCUCAGUAUGAUGAAGUCAGAAGUGAAUGGAGUGAAUUCGUCUAUUUCUAUGUGGGUGCCUAAGUGUAGUCUAUGUUACAAAUUUUAGAUUGUAUUUAGAGAUUUUUGGAUACAAAAGUUUUUGGGUUAUGGUUAAACAUUUCUUUUAUGAAUACACUUUUGGAUUGUAUUUGAUAGAUAUUUGUGAUAUAUUUGUUCAAUUUUAG
This is a long non-coding RNA of Zingiber officinale, 1015 nucleotides long. RefSeq lists it as uncharacterized. The record is from RefSeq and is a predicted model, not a curated record. Lineage: Eukaryota; Viridiplantae; Streptophyta; Magnoliopsida; Zingiberales; Zingiberaceae. The transcript is spliced from 5 exons.